UGGGGUUUGAUGUGUUCAUUUUAUAGUUUCAAAUGCAUAUAUUACUGUUUUAUUAAUUAUGGGUUGAAUGACUGAAGAACUGAUACUGUAUGUUGUCUGUUCGGCAUGAAUUACGAUUUGUUUGUUUAAAUGUGAAUUGAUGAUGCUUAUUGAGGAAAAGGGAAAUGAAACAUUGUGUAGACUGAUAAUUGUAUGAUGGGGUCAGCCUGACUAGAU
Molecule: long non-coding RNA, 216 nt
Filed under: Carica papaya (papaya)
Lineage: Eukaryota; Viridiplantae; Streptophyta; Magnoliopsida; Brassicales; Caricaceae
Description: long non-coding RNA (CPAP_LNC012809)
Source: RNAcentral